This is a long non-coding RNA of Brienomyrus brachyistius, 1102 nucleotides long. RefSeq lists it as uncharacterized. Lineage: Eukaryota; Metazoa; Chordata; Actinopteri; Osteoglossiformes; Mormyridae. The transcript is spliced from 3 exons. The record is from RefSeq and is a predicted model, not a curated record.
GUGUGUGUGUGUGGAUGAUUGUAGCCAGUCAACUUUCUUAGAAAGGUGACACUCUCCCCUUUUUUCCUGCAGAUGAGGACCUACCCCAGGCAUGCACACAUUUAGUCAUCAGUCUGCCCUUCCCGACAUGUCAUCUCACCGCGACAAAAAUAUCACUCCAAACGAGUGCCUGGCUGUUACACAUGAGCGCCACGUGUUGUCAUCUGUCACCGUUGAAGGCGCGUCAGACCCUUCGCUUUCGCCGCGUCCCCUAAAAGAGAUGAAGGAGCGCGCGUCUCAUGGCACGGUCCCAUCUGUGGCAGAGCGAGGGAGAUAUACAGAAGUUCGACAGCGCCCAGUAUUCACAGGUGACUGGUCAGCGCCUGGAAUUACCCACAAUGCUAAGUUUCACUUUCACUGCCGUUCUGAUCAAUGUCAUUUAAAACUCGCAUGAGGAGAUGAACAAGCGUGCUCCGAUUACAGGGAGGACACCGUCACAAUCUUGAGCAUACCAAGACUUUUCAGGCAUUCAGGAAACUUCUACUAUAACGGUGGGAGGAAAACUUCUGCAACAGUCUCUGCUGUAAGGAACCACUGCAGUCAGCAAGCUCUUCAGAACUAAAGACAGUGGGGUCAUUUGUGGCCCAGCCACAUGAAAAAGGGGACCUUCACCGGCCUGCAAACAAAGGAUCAUCUUUCCUGCUUGAUAAACGUGUUUUCUCUCACAUUCCUCGCAUCUUCAUUGCAGGAAGACUUGUAAUCCAGCUGUGGCACUAAAGGUCUGCAUGAGAGAGAUCACUAAGCGAAAGGUACUAACCGUUCUGUGAACAUCACCAAACCACGUCACAACUGGCGUUUUCAAGUCCGAUUUCAAUCCGGCGGGAGAAAACCGAGAAACACGAAGCCAAGUCGGGAACGCUGCGGACGCGCCGUCAAAGGUUUUAAGAACGUAAUCAUAAAAACACACUUAUAUUUAAAGCAUCGAUCCAAGCAGCCAAAAAAAAACAAAAAACAACUCCCCAUCCGAGUCAAUAUCUUCAGUUAAAUGCAUCAGAGGCUAGUUCUGCUUAUCUGAGAUAGCACUGCCAACACAAAGAAGGUGGCGACGGAAAUGGGGGGGGGG